Puccinia sorghi is the source of this 71-nucleotide small nuclear RNA. The record is from Rfam. Lineage: Eukaryota; Fungi; Basidiomycota; Pucciniomycetes; Pucciniales; Pucciniaceae.
GCCCGCUUCGGCGGUGCAUACGUUAAAAUUGGAACGAUACAGAGAAGAUUAGCAUGGCCCCUGCACAAGGA